Long non-coding RNA from Daphnia magna, 4748 nucleotides. RefSeq lists it as uncharacterized. Lineage: Eukaryota; Metazoa; Arthropoda; Branchiopoda; Diplostraca; Daphniidae. The record is from RefSeq and is a predicted model, not a curated record. The transcript is spliced from 14 exons.
GUUAGCCAACUCUAUUAUUUUGCCUAGUCGAAUAAUUUCUAAAUUGGUUAACGAUAGAAAAUAGUUAGGCAUAAGGCGGUGAACUAUAUUCAGUACUUUUUUUGUGGCCAACAGCAGAGAAACUCUACAAAGCCUUAAAUUAAAAUUACUUCCAUUGACUGCACCGAGUGCAGCCAUCCGAAAUCGACACAAGAGAAGCUACGAAAGAGGAAUUACUGUCAGUGCACACACCUGAAUUAAGAGCUUCAACCCAAGAAGAACGAAGGAACAAGUCUGCCAUUGGCCACCAUUUGAGUAGCACAUGGCUAAGAAACUGAAUUUUGGUUAUCAUUGCUGCAUUUAAAAGAAAAAAUGCUAGAGCGAUUAAUAUCACGUCAACCAUUUGGACUAUUAUGUGGAAAAAGUUUAUAUGAAUCAACGUUAUUGGAUAGCAUUAAGGGCCCUGUUGAGAUGAGAAACGUUUCUUGGAAACUCGAAAUAAUAAACCAACCUGGUUUCCCAAUGGCAACCCAUGUUUACUACAUUACAAAAUAUUGACUGAUCUCCCACCACCUACGUGCUUUCAAUGACAUGGGCACUUAAAGGAGUUGGUACUUGUACAUAAGCUAGCAGAAAAAAUUUGAAAGAAAAUUUUCAAAGGAAUUUAAUGUGAUGAACUAAACAAACUGCACUUCAUCUCAUCGAAGUCAAAUGGAGGUCAGAGAAUGUGGGGAAUGAGUAUUGAUUACUGUCAUAUUUCUUUCCAACAUCUACUUUGUUAACUCUGGAGUACAUUUGAUCACUUCUGUAAUCCCCAACAUAAAGUCUAGUUCAGUAUAGAAAGGUAGUGAUCAGAGAGUAAACAGGGUAUGUGUUGAUGCAAUCACAGCACAAACAUGCCAUGGGGAUUGGUCAGUUUGUGACCCAGAUGCUAGUAUUUCUUCUAGCCAUCCUUUUCUGUUUAAGUUUGUGAAACUGGCAAUAUUUCCCAUUCACUGGCUACAGAAGCUAAUGCAUUUUCUAUUUUACCUGAGACAGUUUUAUCCAUCAAGAGGCUGGAGGACUACAGUAUUAAAGAAUUUUUCCUACCCCUGUGGCCUGUGGUAAAUUACCUGCAACAAUGUUGAAAAUGACAUUAUCAUACAACUUCGAAGUCUAGCAUCAUCAGUUGAUUCGUAGGUUGAAAUUCCGCGAAGGCUUUACACGUAUUCUAUAUUUUAAGUACUGACAGGUGACAUGUAAAGUUGAAUUUAUGCGUGGUGAUAACAUUAACUUAUGGAGAUUCGCUGGCAAAAAGUUGGGCAUCACCUCCGAUGUUCGAAGGUCCGAAAAGUGAUUCGCCUACUGCCACAUCAAGAUGAUUUUUCGUCGUGUCUAAGAUGUCGCUAGUUAUAUCCCUUGCUUCAAGCAUCAUUUGUUGAAAAAACCGUAUUGAUCCGAAGAUAACGAAGCAGACCUUAGAAAACGAAUUUAAUCUCUCGCACUUUUUGCUUUUUAUACCAGUAGCCGUGCGGCAAAUAAGCACAUACCAAAUGUGAUUGUAUUGCACGGUUUCUGGAGACAACUUACGUCAGCAACCUGUUAAGGAUAAAACAAAGGAAAACAUGGGAGUGUCGAAUUCUAGAUCUGCUGGAAAUCGCGUACCCAAAGAAAUUAAGUGUCGAAAACCCCCAUAUCCUUGCACUGUCGUCAAAUAUCUUUACAAAGGGAAAUAUUGAAAUACGAAAUGUUCAACCAUUCUAGCCGUGAAGAUCCCUUCAACGGAAUCCAUUUUUAAAACUUUCUGCUACCAUAGUAUUUUUGUUCCUCUUCCUGUGAAGGACCAACCAAACAUGAUGUUACUCUUGUGAUGGAUCUGGAUUAUUGGUAAGUUCUGCUUAUAUUUGCACCAAUCUUUACAAUACCUCUUUACUAAGGGAAAUAUUGAAAAAUUUAGUGAUUAGCCAUUUAAGUUUUGAAGAUUCCUUCAUUGUAAACAAAUUUAAUAAAUCUGGUAUAUUUCGUUGAAACCUUAAAGAAAUACUUCAUCUUAUCUUAUUUCUCUUAGAAUCUUUUCAUUGCUAGACUUAUUUCCUCUUAUCAUUAAGGAAUAACCCAACUUAAUGUUGCCUUGUGAUGGAUUUGGUUAUUGGUCGGAAAAUGGGAAGUGUCACCAACUAUCUGAUCGCUUUCAUCUUCGGUACGGAGCUUUUUAAAACCCGUGUUGAUUAAUUUUUUGUGGACAAUUUUUCGUCCAAGACUGGUUAACUUGCAUGGUCCCGCGGUUACGCUAAAAACUGGGACACGUCCGUGUCAGUGGCUGAAAGAGAGCGACCCGGACCCAUCCAGUUGGCUUCUAGCCUGUCUGGUAUGAGUUUUCUCGACUUUAUUCGUACGUUUACAGCAAUUGAAUGUGUCCAUCUGAAUAUGGAAGCCAGUCGAUACGAGCCCAUUCUGCAAGGCAGAGCUAAACUAAAAUUGCCUUGAGAAAGUGAAUAAUUGCAUGCAGAAUCGUAUCUUCGUUAAAUUUUUUUUUAGUUUCGUGGAUCAUUCGUGUCUAUUAAGGAUUUCGGCAAAGAGGACUUACUACUGGCCGAUAUCGCAACAAUUCUGGUAAGAAUCAACCUUUUAUUUAUUCAUUUUAAAAACACAUCAACACAUGCCAGUUACACGAGAUGGACUAGCAACAUUCUUUUGAUGGAUAAUCGAUUAAAUUUUUGUGGCUAUUGUCAUGGAAAACUACGUCAGCAGUGCAGUGCUGAGUUUGUCUCUAUUUUGCCCGUAAGCAGGAAAAAGGUUGAAACAGUAGUGGAAUUAGAGAAAAUUGACGUAAAACCAGUUUUGAAAAUGUCGAGCACGGAAUAAGUGAACGAUUUUACCAGUUGUUCGUUGUGACCAACAAAUACGAAAGCUAUGUCCCUCGGCUCAAUCUUCCAAUUAAUCUAAAAAAAGCCGACGAUGUUAUGUGACUUAGCAAUCUCUGUAACCGAAGAUGCAGCAAGCUACUUCAUCUUGUGUCCGGAGCAUUGGCAAUAUCCUAAGAAGGGAAUAUUACGAAUUAGUUUCCCUAGCCACAUGUUGAAAUCUGUUGUUUUCUAGUUUGGUCAAUGACACUGAUGUAUGCGGUUAUCCUUAAGUUCGGGAAGUCUUUGAAGAGACUGGAGAAUCCUAUCUUAUUCACAAACAGAAGUCUCAAGCGUAACUGAAUUUGACUGCCAUGACUCAGCAAGCUGGACUUUUACCAGUUAGACUUCAGUCAACUUGUAAUCAGUCCAACAUGAAUUGAUGCAGCAGCAAUACUCCGGACACACUGCUGAAAGACCACACACACGGCAGAAGCCGGCGAGAUCAUUGCAGCCAAUAAAAAUGCCCUUAAAAAACAAUCACAUGUGUACAUAUAUUAUUUCCCUCGUAUUUUGCUGUUUUAUUCGACUGCCAAUUGAUUCUCCGGUGUCACUUGUCCCAUGACUUUGAAGUUGAAAAAAUCAUUUACAACUCGCGUUGGUUGUAAAUUUGGAUAACAGAUGGCGCAGUUGCGCCUUUGUUUUGUGAAAAAACUAAGUGUGACAUGUGAAACCUAUGUUCGAAUAUUUGUGAACUAUGUUACAUUCCAGUGAUAAGUUUGUUAAAAUUAAAUGGUGUGAUUUCAACUUUUGAGAGUUUUUCAGUCUUUCCUGUGUUUUUGAAGUGAUAAACAUCAAGUGGAUUAUUUUGUGUGCAACGAGUAAACUUGUGAUCAGCUAUGCCAGAUCCAAACCAUUACUUUUACAUUCCCAUCAUGCUAUUCUAUUGCACGUUAAAGAAGUAGUUGGUGAAACCUAAAUAGAAAAAGAUACUAACCGUGAGGAAAGGUUAGAAAUGACACAAACCAUAUGAGUUGGAAUACCACCAUAACGUCAUUCUGCCACUCUUUACUCAUUCAUCAUGUCCUGUCAAUUUUGAUCUGAAAAGUGCACCAUAUAUUGUGUUGCAAAUCAAUAACCAUAACAAUUUCAACAAUCUUCUCGUCAUUUCUACUUAGCCUAUCAAGUGGCAGGAUUUUGAGUUGCAGAGUGUGCUCAUGUAUCUAAAAUGAAAAGAAUGCUGACAUCGAAGGAAGAUCAUCAACAAUGCAAAAUCAAUGGAUUGGAAUACCUCAUGCCAUUCUAUACUCUUUGCCCACUCAUCAUCUCAUCCAACACAUGUCUUCGCCUCGCCUGUCGCCCAGUCUUGGCUUCGCCCGUCGCCCAGUCUUGGCUUGACCCAUCGCCCCAUCUUCGCUUUGCCCGUCGCCCGGUCUUCGCUUCGCCCGUCACCCCGUCUUCACUCCGCCCGUCGCCUCGUCUUCACUUCGCCCCGUCAUCACCUCGUCUUAGUGGUAUCAUUGUAUUUUGUAACGUGUAAUUGUGUAGUGUUAAUUAACCCGUUGGCUGCCACCCACUUUGAUCCCCCCUUUUUUUUAAAGCUUGUUAGGGUCCGGCAGCGCUGUUCUACCCAAUGGUCUAUAUGCCAUGGGUGGGACAGUUGCACAAGCCGUGUGGCUCAAAGUCGAUCGUCGAGGCAAUGCACCAUUAGGGAAUUCCCCCUUGUCGAUGUGGUGGUGGUUUCCUGGGGUGUGCAUUCCCAUAACGGCUUCCACCAUCAUGUCAGCCCGGACUUGUCUUCGGACAAGUCCCCCUUUGUCGUAAUCCUUUUGAUCACGAUGUAGCUAGAGUAGAUAUGUAGUGGCGUGGCAGCCAACGGGUUAGUUUUAUGUAUGUAUGUAUUUUUUGUAUUGUAUUGUAUUAUGAAAUGUAAAUAUUAGUGGUGGA